GGUUCCGUAGUGUAGUGGUUAAAACGUUCGCUUCACACGCGAAAGGUUUCCGGGUUUGAACCCGGACGGAACCA
This is a non-coding RNA of Trichonephila inaurata madagascariensis, 74 nucleotides long. NCBI's taxonomy places the organism in Eukaryota, Metazoa, Arthropoda, Arachnida, Araneae, Nephilidae. The record is from the annotation of a GenBank genome assembly.